This 500-nucleotide ribosomal RNA is filed under the name uncultured Glomeromycotina. RNAcentral describes it as "partial small subunit ribosomal RNA". It matches the Rfam family "Eukaryotic small subunit ribosomal RNA", at positions 591 to 1092 of the family's 1831-position model. The record is from RNAcentral. Lineage: Eukaryota; Fungi; Glomeromycota.
CCAAUAGCGUAUAUUAAAGUUGUUGCAGUUAAAAAGCUCGUAGUUGAAUUUCGGGAUCAGUUCGUCGGUCGUGCCUUUGGUAUGUACUGGUGUUACUGGUUCCUCCCUUCUGACGAACCGUCAUGUCAUUAAUUUGGUGUGGCGGGAAAUCAGGACUGUUACUUUGAAAAAAUUAGAGUGUUUAAAGCAGGCUCGCGCUUGAAUACAUUAGCAUGGAAUAAUGAAAUAGGACGUUCGAUCCUAUUUUGUUGGUUUCUAGGAUUGACGUAAUGAUUAAUAGGGAUAGUUGGGGGCAUUAGUAUUCAAUUGUCAGAGGUGAAAUUCUUGGAUUUAUUGAAGACUAACUGCUGCGAAAGCAUUUGCCAAGGAUGUUUUCAUUAAUCAAGAACGAAAGUUAGGGGAUCGAAGACGAUCAGAUACCGUCGUAGUCUUAACCAUAAACUAUGCCGACUAGGGAUCGGAUGAUGUUAAUUUUUUAAUGACUCAUUCGGCGCCUUACG